GACCGAUGUCCGCGCCGUUUCGGCCCGCGCCGGAGUUCGUCGGAUGCGGCCGGCGACAGCCACAGCCCCGCCUAACCCGUGGCGGAGGUGGGACACGGACGCGGUCCCGCGGGUCUCCCGGUGGCAAGCUAGCCACGCCGGAGAUGAGCUGCCAAGCGACUUGGCCUGGGUCGCUCCGUGCUGUUUUCGCCGGAGGCCAUGGUGGCGGUGGCCGGGGUCCGGCGGGGAGGAACCUAGGAACGGGGCUUCGCGGCGCUGCUCGAUGGUGCCGGGCUGAAGCAGGAAUCUGCUUCUGGUAGAUCGGUAGCGGCCACACGCGAAGGAUGCCAGGACUGGAUGGGCGAACUAAACAAGGCCUCAGUGGGAAAGAGUAGUAAUUAGAACAUGUUCCUAGGACCAACUAGCUGGAAGUAGCAGAACACUGCAUCCGAAGUCGCAUUCUGUUAGGUGUUGAUUACUUGAUUUACAGGCAAAGCAGCAGAACCUUUUCAUGGAGCCUUGGCAUACCAGCUGUUUAAUUUUGCCCACUCACUUUGUGCUGUUAUUGGAUGACUGUCACUGCAUUUUCUUUUGUUUGAAGAAGUAAUCACUUUGGAGAUC
Molecule: long non-coding RNA, 600 nt
Organism: Sorghum bicolor (sorghum)
Lineage: Eukaryota; Viridiplantae; Streptophyta; Magnoliopsida; Poales; Poaceae
Exons: 2
Source: RefSeq, a predicted model, not a curated record